CACGCUGCAGUUGCAUUCAACUCUUAUACGGUUGCAAUGAUGCAGUCGAUAGUUUGUUCGUUUGCGACCGGGUUAUCACUUAUUAAAUCCCCACUCGGGGUGCGCUCUUAGAAUCAUCUCAAAAGACAUUAAUACGUUGGUCUUGCUAUGAAAUGGAAUCGAUUCAACUGCCAAAAGUAUCCGAUGUUGUAUGGUUUUAAUAAAAAAGAUUAUAUAACCUUCAUUAUCGCAUUCCUGUUUGCAGGUAAACAAUGUAUGGACAUACCGCUGCUCAACGGCGAUUUUGGUAACAGCGUAAAGUGUGGUUCCAGUUAAGCGCGUGCAGUCCGAACAGACUAUAUAUGUAUACAAAUAUUUACUUAGAUAAAGAAUGUAUUAGAGACUUUCUAUGGGAAAUCGGGUCUUCUUGUUAGUACGUAAAGUGUGGUCCCAGAAAAGAAUGUGCAGUCCGGACAUAAUAUAUAUGUAUACAAGUAUUGACUUAGAUACAGAAUGUAUUAGAGACUUUUUAUGGGAAAUCGGGUCUUCUUGCUAGUACGUUAAGUGUGGUGCCAGAUAAGACUGUGCAGUCCGAACAGACUAUAUAUGUAUACAAGUAUUGACUUAGAUAUUGAAUGUAUUCGAGACUCGCUUUGGGAAAUCGGGUCUUCUUGCUUGUACGUAAAGUGUGGUCCCAGAUAAGCCUGUGCAGUCCGCACAUAGAAUAUAUGUAUACACAGAUAAAGAAUGUAUUCGAGACUCGCUAUGGGAAAUCGGGUCUUCUUGCUAGUACGUAAAGUGUGGUCAUACAUACGGUGGUAACGAUUGCAAAAGACAACAACUUCAGGGUGUGGGAUCGAUCCCGGGACAAAAAGAGGGCCACAGAUAAAGAAUGUAUUCGAGACUCGCUAUGGGAAAUCGGGUCUUCUUGCUAGUACGUAAAGUGUGGUCCCAGAUAAGACUGUGCAGUCCUCUUGCUAGUGCGUAAAGUGUGGUCCCAGAUAAGCGUGUGCAGUCCGAACAGACUAUAUAUGUAUACAAGUAUUGACUUAGAUAAAGAAUGUAUUAGAGACUUUCUAUGGGAAAUCGGGUCUUCUUGCUAACACGUUAAGUGUGGUCCCAGAUAAGACUGUGCAGUCCGAACAAACUAUAUAUGUUUACAAGUAUUUGCUAAGAUAAAGAAUGUAUUAGAGACUCGCUAUGGGAAAACGGGCCUUCUGCUUGUACGUAAAGUGUGGUGCCAGAUAAGACUGUGCAGUCCUCUUGCUUGUGCGCAAAGUGUGGUGCCAGAUAAAACUGUGCAGUCCUCUUGCUUGUGCGUAAAGUGUGGUGCCAGAUAAAACUGUGCAGUCCUCUUGCUUGUGCGUAAAGUGUGGUGCCAGAUAAGACUGUGCAGUCCUAUUGCUAGUGCGUAAAGUGUGGUCCCAGAUAAGCGUGUGCAGUCCGAACAAACUAUAUAUGUAUACAAGUAUUGACUUAGAUAAAGAAAGUAUUAGAGACUUUCUAUUUGAAAUCGGGUCUUCUUGCUUGUACGUAAAGUGUGGUCCCAGAUAAGCCUGUGCAGUCUGAACAGACAAAUUAGGGACGACACAUUCCGCUUUAUGGUAUUUUUCGUUUAAGGAAAAUCCAAUUUAGGCGGAAGUGACGUCCCUGAUCAGCGUGUCCGGACUGCACAGCCGAAUAAGGACGAUACUUAACGCACAGUCAUAAAGCCAGUUUUCCCAGAGCGAGGCUCCUUUGUAUAACUUUCUUUCUUUUAGCCGACUAUAGUCUCUGCAUCCGCAGUAUAAACUUCUCUGUCGACGGCAGAUUUAUCUUUUAUAUAAGCUACGGAUCCCUCGAAUUUCAUAACACUGCCACACUGCAAGUAAUUCUUCCUUUGUUCGGGGUUUUACACAAAUCUUUAUCCAUGUAAAAUCUUUACAUGCAGUAACGAUUCAGAAGGCUUACAAACACAAGUUUCGUAAAUAAUUUCAGUUCUUCGUUUAAAAAUAAACAUAUAACAUUUAUUAAAUAAAUAAAUACAAAAUAAUACAAAAAUACAUACAUACAUACAUAAAAAAUAUAUACACAUAUAUAAAUAAAUACUAUGACUUUGAUUAAGAACAAAAAUGAUAUUUAUUCAACUACUCAUGGUUCGGCCUGUAUUAACGAUUACGAUUACAAGAUGUGGCAUAUUUUCACGGCAUCGUGCACCGCUCUUCGCGACAGGAGAAAGAUCGUCUGGAACACACAAUUGAUCUGAAAGGCGCGCGCACCGUUGACAUGGUAACGGUGGUAACGAUUGCAAAAGACAACAACUUCAGGGUGUGGGAUCGAUCCCGGGACAAAAAGAGGGCCACAGAUCGGCAGGCCAAAUCGAGACGUGUUCCACUGGGCCACCAGGAUGCGUUGUUCGUGACCGGCAGUGCGGGAGAGGACUCGCCCAACAUAGUCGGCGUGUAUGAUGUCGGCAGACUGGAAUACCGCGCCAUCCGAGAACUUGUUAGACGACGGUUUUUAUUUCGCUCUUUGCUAAUUAAGGUGGCCUGCAAUGCAAACACGAGGUUUUACGAAGCAGAUAACAGAUCAGUGGUCAUGGAAAUUUACGAUAAGUUUUACUUGUUUGACCUUGAAAAGAUGGACGUCAGCAUCGUGUUUCCGGGUCGAGUAGUCGAUACACGAGUGUGUAUCUUGACCUAACGGAAGCAACUCCUCGUGACGUCACGUUUUGGCAAGAACGUGAAACUGUACAACAUCACAAACGGCUGCAUUGACGCCAUAAUAAAAACUGGACGCAAGAAGGAGAUCUACCAAGUUGUGGUGAACGAUCCGGGAAGGCUUGCUGCAGUGACGGUAGUAGUUUUUGGACCUGUAGUGUUGAUGGACCUUGUCACUCACUCUCGCAUGUAUGAGAUCUCAAACAGUACGUUCAGGAGAUGCGAAAGUAUCUUUACCUCUCAGAAUUAAAAAUACGUUGGAAUUUCGCGGCAUAUAUCGUACAAUAUAUUUUAAUGUUAACGGCGUUUCUUUUUCUGUGUACGCAUUGCAUACUAGCAUAACAUAUACUAUCAAUAAAGCGCACUUUGCGAAUGUUGUUUUCAAGAUCAGUUUAUGGUGUUCGCUCCAUAUGUUAUAAGACUACGAAAGUGUUAUCGACCAAUCGACUUUUAAGUUUGAACGGAUGUUGUAUACCAAUGAGUCUCUUUCGUCAUGUUAAUCUGUUGAAGAAAUUCAGUUCUAUUCAAACAAAUAUUUAUUUUAUGUGAACACAUGUAAGCACCGUUGUCGCUUAGUUGAUUGCCUUUAUAACUUAAUAUAUAUGCCACGUUUUGUGAAUACGGGGCAUAAUGCAUGUGCUUAAAAUGUCGUCCCGUAUUAGCCUGUGCAGCCCACACAGAUUUAUCAGGGACGACACUUUCCUCAUAGAAUAGAUUUUCGUUUAUAGGAGAAUUCCUUUAAACGAAACAUUCCAUAAAAGCGGUAACUGCACAUGGUUAUCUGGGAGUAUACUUUAAAAGCAUGUAUUAAGGAUUGUUUUCCCCUUGUUAGCUUUGUUAGUUUCCCGAUUGAAAGAACUUAAAUUACCGGUCGAUGUUUUUAAUUUCGAUU
RNA transcript from Dreissena polymorpha, 3570 nucleotides. It is a transcript of the gene named NACHT and WD repeat domain-containing protein 2-like, with no coding region annotated. The record is from RefSeq and is a predicted model, not a curated record. The transcript is spliced from 5 exons. NCBI's taxonomy places the organism in Eukaryota, Metazoa, Mollusca, Bivalvia, Myida, Dreissenidae.